GACAGAGGAGGCGAGCGUUAUCCGGAGUUAUCGGGCGUAAAGGGUACGUAGGCGGCUGGUCAAGUCUGGGGUUAAAGACCACAGCUUAACUGUGGGGGGGGCCUUGGAAACUGACCGGCUGGAGUGGGGCAGGGGUUGCGGGAAUUCCCGGUGUAGAGGUGAAAUGCGUAGAUAUCGGGAAGAACACCUGAGGCGAAAGCGCGCAACUGGGCCCUAACUGACGCUGAGGUACGAAAGCUAGGGGAGCGAAAGGG
Molecule: ribosomal RNA, 254 nt
Filed under: uncultured bacterium
Lineage: Bacteria
Description: partial 16S ribosomal RNA
Rfam family: Bacterial small subunit ribosomal RNA
Source: RNAcentral